This 322-nucleotide ribosomal RNA is filed under the name uncultured Rhogostoma. RNAcentral describes it as "SSU rRNA". The stretch from base 109 to 322 matches the Rfam family "Eukaryotic small subunit ribosomal RNA", at positions 740 to 955 of the family's 1831-position model. The record is from RNAcentral. Lineage: Eukaryota; Cercozoa; Thecofilosea; Cryomonadida.
GAUCCGUGCCCCUUACGGGGUAUGUGUGUUGGUGUGGCGUCUGCCAUCUUUUGUGUAGAUGCUUUGUCCAUAUAGGGGCCUUUACUGGUUCUUGUUGGCUUAGGUUAUCAUCUACAUCUUUUACUUUGAAAAAAUUAGAGUGUUUAAAGCAGGCUUUUGCUAUGAAUACAUUAGCAUGGAAUAAUAAUCUAGGACUUCGGUUCUAUUUUGUUGGUUUCUAUAACUGAAGUAAUGAUUGAUAGGGAUAGUUGGGGGUGCUAGUAUUGGCCGGCCAGAGGUGAAAUUCUUGGAUUCGGUCAAGACUAACUUAUGCGAAAGCAUU